AUUGAACGCUGGCGGCAUGCCUUACACAUGCAAGUCGAACGGCAGCACGGGAGCAAUCCUGGUGGCGAGUGGCGAACGGGUGAGUAAUAUAUCGGAACGUGCCCAGUCGUGGGGGAUAACGUAGCGAAAGCUACGCUAAUACCGCAUACGAUCUACGGAUGAAAGCGGGGGAUCGCAAGACCUCGCGCGAUUGGAGCGGCCGAUAUCAGAUUAGCUAGUUGGUGAGGUAAAGGCUCACCAAGGCGACGAUCUGUAGCUGGUCUGAGAGGACGAACAGCCACACUGGAACUGAGACACGGUCCAGACUCCUACGGGAGGCAGCAGUGGGGAAUUUUGGACAAUGGGCGCAAGCCUGAUCCAGCAAUGCCGCGUGCAGGAUGAAGGCCUUCGGGUUGUAAACUGCUUUUGUACGGAGCGAAACGGUCUUCUCUAAUACAGGGGGCUAAUGACGGUACCGUAAGAAUAAGCACCGGCUAACUACGUGCCAGCCGCCGCGGUAA
RNAcentral lists this ribosomal RNA (500 nucleotides) under uncultured bacterium. RNAcentral's name for it is "partial 16S ribosomal RNA". It matches the Rfam family "Bacterial small subunit ribosomal RNA", at positions 30 to 523 of the family's 1533-position model. The record is from RNAcentral.